GUCGAGCGAAGCUUUUCAGUAGUUUACUACAGAAAAUGACUGAGCGGCGAACGGGUGAGUAACGCGUGAGCAACCUACCUUAGUUACUGGGAUAGCCCGAGGAAACUCGGAUUAAUACCGGAUAUUCUUAUUUAAUCACAUGAUUUUUUAAGGAAAGGUCAGCCGAACUAAGAUGGGCUCGCGUUCUAUCAGCUAGUUGGUAGGGUAAUGGCCUACCAAGGCUACGACGGAUAGCUGGUCUGAGAGGACGAUCAGCCACACUGGGACUGAGACACGGCCCAGACUCCUACGGGAGGCUGCAGCAGGGAAUAUUGCGCAAUGAGCGAAAGCUUGACGCAGCGACACCGCGUGUGGGAUGACGGAUCUAGGUUUGUAAACCACUUUCAGGAGGGAAGAAAAUGACGGUACCUCCACAAGAAGCCCCGGCCAACUACGUGCCAGCAGCCGCGGUAAUACGUAGGGGGCGAGCGUUGUCCGGAUUUAUUGGGCGUAAAGAGCUCGUAGGCGGUUCAACAAGUCGGUCGUGAAAGUUCAGGGCUCAACCCUGAAAUGUCGAUCGAUACUGUUGUGACUAGGAUACGGUAGAGGUGAGUGGAAUUCCGAGUGUAGCGGUGAAAUGCGUAGAUAUUCGGAGGAACACCAAUUGCGAAGGCAGCUCACUGGGCCGCUAUCGACGCUGAGGAGCGAAAGCUAGGGGAGCAAA
RNAcentral lists this ribosomal RNA (703 nucleotides) under uncultured marine bacterium. RNAcentral's name for it is "bacterial SSU rRNA". It matches the Rfam family "Bacterial small subunit ribosomal RNA", at positions 61 to 772 of the family's 1533-position model. The record is from RNAcentral.